AUGAACACAGACACCAUCUUGCCCGGCGAGUUCUCUCCAGAAACCGGACAUUAAUCUCUCAAGGAGGAACAUUUGAGAUGGGCUUCUUUUCACCAGGUAACACUGGUAACUACUAUGUUGGCAUUUGGUACAAAGGAUUACCUCAAAAGACUCUAGUUUGGGUCGCAAAUAGGAACCAUCCAGUGUCCGACCCAUUCUCCUCAGAGUUGGAGCUCCUCUGGGACGGUAAUUUAGUCGUACUCGCUUCAUCCAAGCGUCAAAUCUGGUCGACCCGUUUGACAUUGCUCAUGCCUAAUUCGACUUCAGGAGUGCCUUGACAAUGGAAACUUCAUUUUAAGGAAGACAUCCGACGUGUCUAGUGUAGCUUGGCAGAGUUUUGAUCAUCCCACUGAUACGUGGUUGCCAGGUGCCAAGUUUAAAUUCAACACUUCCGAAAAGACAGUUCUGGUGGCGUGGAGAAAUUUAAACGAUCCAACUUCCGGAAUAUUCUCGACAUCCAUGGGAGCAAAAGGAACUCUUUCGCUAUUUAACAGGUCGGAAGCCUACUGGAUUGGACGCGACUGGACUGGGGACGAUUACAGGCGUCGGUCUUCACUGACAGCAGAAAACGUGAUAAACUACACCUUUGUUUCGAAUGAGAAUGAGACUUACUCCAAAUAUUCCGCAAUUGCUCCUUAUAAUCUUUCUAGGAUUGUGCUUGAACCGACGGGGCUGCUCAAGCAAGUGAUGCACCGCUUUGUGAUUGUGUUUGGAUCCUCAGAUGAUCUGAAGCCGGAAGAUCAUCUGGGCCAAUGCAAUAGGAGAAACGCGUUGGAAUGUAGUGGAGAUAGGAAAGAUAUUUUUUUCCUCAUGCCUCGUACACAAUUCCCAAAUAAUUAUGAUUCGUUCAUGGUGGAAAACAUUGAUGCAUGCAGGUUAUUGUGCUUGAGCAACUGUUCGUGCAGUGCAUUCGCUUACACUGCUAACUGUCGGAUAUGGACGGAUGAGAGAUUUUUAGUUCAACGUUCAGCCAAUGAUGGAGUAUUUAAAGAUUUCUAUGUCCGGAUCGCGGUGUUGGAUUGGAAGGAGGAGAUUAAGAAAAAGGGGAAACCCAGUUUGAAAUUCAUAGCAGCAGUUGUUGUGUCCUUAGCUUUUCUCGUGCUCCUUAGUGUCGCUGGUUACUAUUAGGACAAGACGGUCUGCUACUGCAGUGGACGAUCAUUUGCUGCAUUUUGAAUAUCGAGUUCUGAAGAAGGCAACAAAGAACUUCUCUGAGAAAAUUGGGGAAGGAGGGUUUAGUUCUGUUUUCUGGGGAGCACUGCCAGACUCAACUCCUGUAGCAGUGAAGAAACUUGCAAACCAAAACCAAAGUAACAAACAGUUCCUUGCGGAAAUUAGAACUAUUGGAAUGAUACAGCACGUCAAUGUGGUUCGACUGCGUGGCUUUUCUGCAGAAGAGUCGAAGAGGUUCCUAGUUUAUGACUACCUUACAAAUGGUUCGCUUCAGCUCAUUUGUUUCAGAAAGGUUCCAACACCCUCGAUUGGAAAACCAGAUACAACAUUGCCAUUGGGAUUGCUAAAGGAUUGGAGUACCUCCAUGAGAGGUGUCGAGAUCGCAUCAUACACUGCGAUAUCAAGCCGGAGAAUAUACUUUUGGAUUCAGAACUCGCACCACAGAUUGCUGAUUUCGGCCUCACGAAGCUUGUGGGACGGGAUGCCAGCCAGGUAAUUACCACCAUGAGGGGAACCAGAGGGUACCUCGCGCCAGAAUGGAUUUCAGGAGGAGCCAUCACGUCAAAAGUCGAUGUUUUCAGCUAUGGAAAGCUGCUCUUUGAGAUCAUAUCAGAAAGAGAAACAUUGAGGAGCUGAAUAGUGAUAUGCGCGAUUAUCUACCGCUUCAGGUAGCUAAGUCAAUAGCCAAAGGAGAAGAAGUCUUGCCACUUGUGGACCGCCGAUUGGAAGGACUAGUGGAGAUGGAAGAAUUGUGCAGAGCAUGCAAAGUGGCUUGUUGGUGCAUUCAAGACAGCGAGAAAGAUAGACCGACCAUGUCUCAGGUAGUUCAGAUUUUGGAGGGGGUAAUGGCAGUAGAAAAGCCUCCUAUCCCAAGAAUUUUGUUGCAACUGGUAGGAAGUGAUGAGAUUGAGGCAUAAAACGUAGCACUAUGCCCUUUCUUCGAUAAUUUAUGGGCAUGGUGUAGCCCCAAUCCAUCCUCCUUUGAGUUUCUACAGUUACAAGCUGUGUACCUCCAUGGCCAAUAAAUUACGGUAACCAUUGUGGCCACUCGAAAUAUAAAGACAAAACAGUUAAUGUCGCUGAUGGACUCACUGGUCUAGGAUCUGUA
Eucalyptus grandis is the source of this 2320-nucleotide RNA transcript. It is a transcript of the gene named G-type lectin S-receptor-like serine/threonine-protein kinase At2g19130, with no coding region annotated. The record is from RefSeq and is a predicted model, not a curated record. The transcript has 2 exons. NCBI's taxonomy places the organism in Eukaryota, Viridiplantae, Streptophyta, Magnoliopsida, Myrtales, Myrtaceae.